Molecule: non-coding RNA, 25 nt
Filed under: Cricetulus griseus (Chinese hamster)
Lineage: Eukaryota; Metazoa; Chordata; Mammalia; Rodentia; Cricetidae
Source: RNAcentral
UACAUGUCACUGUUGGAGCCCUCAG